Sardina pilchardus (European sardine) is the source of this 1068-nucleotide long non-coding RNA. RefSeq lists it as uncharacterized. The record is from RefSeq and is a predicted model, not a curated record. The transcript is spliced from 2 exons. Lineage: Eukaryota; Metazoa; Chordata; Actinopteri; Clupeiformes; Clupeidae.
UUUGCAUUAAUGAGACUACAGCUUGGGACCCGGAAGCUUGUUAUUUUAUUUUGUCACAUGGCUUUGAGAUUUCAAUAACAACAAAAAAUGGCGACAAUCACGUUGUUCGAUGUGGGCUUGCUGCGUCAUAAAAAUAUUCACGUAAACACCUGGGAUAUACACGAAAUAACAUCGUGUGCAUGCAUUUUGCCUGGAAACAGACAACGCAUAUUUGUUGGAGCUGAUCUAGUGAACAAUGUGAGUGCUUGUGAGACAAGUUGUUUGUCUAGUCUAAGUAAAAUUGGCGUUGUUCAAGCAAUGCUUCAACUUUAGGCUACACAUAUGUUAUUUCAUAAAGGAUUGUGAUAGGCGUUCCCCACUGCUCUGUGAUAGCGAGAAGAGAGAGCUAAUCGAGUUGUUUACAAGAAGCGAUUUGCACGGAGGGCGGGGAGCCUUUGGGAGGAGUCCCAGUGGUCGAGCUACGCGACUGGACUUCCAGAGAAACAUCUAGCUCAGAGGGCGGAGUCACAUAGACCACAACAAGUCUGACGUAAGCGUGAUGGUACGUAUGAAUAAUUAAUUCGUCUGCAUAAUAAAUUCAAUGGCAAUAUUCAAUGUGGUACAUUUACUUCACAUGUAUGAAUUGUAGGUCAAGUACCUGCCCACUUGCUCUAAUUUAUUCAUGUCUAUUUAAUAACUGUGUUUAUGCACAAGUUGGGUCUUUAGCCAACUUUUCCCCACUUAAUUUGUCAGACAUUGUAGGCCUACAUUGAACGUCCAGUAUCCCUUUGUGGGGUGUUGUGUUCUUGCUGUCUCCACUUCAUAUAGUCUCUGCUGUAAGGAUGGGUGGAGAUUCUUACAGCUUUCUAUGUCUGCUUGAUGUGACAGGCUGCCCUGGUUCAGUUAUCAGAGUGCUGAUGCUGUCCAUCUUAAAGGUACAGUACUGUGAUAACUGAAGGAUGGCAGCCAUCUUGACACCACUGAUUCGACAUGGCCAAUGGAGGGCCCUCUCUCACAGCUGGGGAAAAAGGACGUUUUGUAACAAUGUAAUGUGAGCUGUUAUUAUUAAAAUUCAAGAACCAGUACCAA